This 4663-nucleotide unclassified non-coding RNA is filed under the name Hevea brasiliensis (rubber tree). The record is from RNAcentral. Lineage: Eukaryota; Viridiplantae; Streptophyta; Magnoliopsida; Malpighiales; Euphorbiaceae.
UUUUUUUUUUUUUUUAUUCUUUUCCUCUCUCUAUCUUCACUAUCACAACAUACCUCCAACCCUCCUUAGUAGAGCCAAAAAAAAUCCGUAAAUUGAAUUUUCCUUCCGACGAACACCCAAGUUCGCUUCUCGGUUAUCCAAUGCAACUGUCCGUCUCCACCGAUACCAAUUCAAAUGCACCCCAAAACCUCGAAAGCCCUGGAUCCCGAAAAUCUACUUUGACAGAAGCUGAUGCAUCUUCCGCGGCUGCAGCUGUGGUGGCGUCGAAUGUUGAGGACAGCAAUAAAAGGGGUGAUAGUCUGGAUGAUGAAUUGGUUCUCGAUGUUACGGGAAAAAGUUUGGAGUUUGAUUUAUUAGAGAAGGUCGACGAUUCCGUGGAGGGGUUGUAUUUGUACAAGAAUGUAUUUAGUUUGGUUCCCAGAUCUGUGGGAAGGCUGGGGAAACUGAGAACGUUGAAGUUCUUUGGAAAUGAGUUGAAUUUGUUUCCGGUGGAAUUUGGGAAUUUAGUGGGUUUGGAGCGCUUGCAAGUAAAAGUAUCAUCGCUGGGGUUGAGUGGGUUGUGCUUGAAUAAGUUGAGAGGUUUGAAGGAGCUUGAGUUGUCAAAAGCUCCGCCGAGACCCUCUGUUUUCACGAUUUUGAGUGAGAUUGCUAGGCUGAAGUGCUUGACCAAGCUUUCUGUUUGUCAUUUCUCCGUAAGAUACUUUCCUCCAGAAAUUGGAUGCUUAAAUAACCUGGAGUACUUGGACCUUUCAUUCAACAAGAUAAAGAGUUUACCUACUGAAAUUAGUCAUUUAACUGCGCUGAUAUCAUUGAAAAUUGCAAAUAAUAAAUUAGUUGAACUGCCCUCUGACUUGUCCUCAUUGCAAAGAUUGGAGAAUUUGGACCUGUCAAAUAAUAGGUUGACAUCUUUGGGGUCUCUUCAACUUGUCUUAAUGCAUAACCUUCAGUAUUUAAAUCUUCGGUACAACAAGCUUCUCAGUUGUUGUCAAAUACCAGCAUGGAUAUGUGUCAAUCUAGAAGGAAAUGGCAAGGACUUGUCAAACGAUGAUUUCAUCAGUUCUUCAGUUGAAAUGGAUGUAUAUGAAACCUUCAUUCAGUCUGAUAAUAUAAAAUUUUCUUGCAAUGGUUCUCCUAAUACCAUUUCAAGUGUAUUAACUGGUUCUUCAUUGAACAGCAGAUGCUUUGCAGCUUGGAGGUCAAGUAAGCGGUGGAAACGACGGUAUUAUUUGCAACAGAGGGCUCGCCAAGAAUGUUUGAACAAGAGCAGGAAGUGGAAGGUUGAAGCAUGUGCUGAAUUAUUGACUCCAAAGGAAUGUGAAAAUCACAAACCUGACAACCUCAAUGUGCUGACCUCUGAAAAUUGUGGAGAAAGUACCUUAGACAUAGGUCUGGAUGAUGAAAAUGAAGAUAAGGUAGUACAUUCUGGUGGAGUUGAAGCUGAAAAUUUACAUGUUAGUGGUGAGAAUGAGAGAAUCAGUUCUGUUGACAUAGAAAAUAGCUCAUGUGACCUUGAAACUAUGAGUAAAGGUGGGGAAGAUGAAUGUUGUGUGCAUGGCAAAUUUUUAGCUUGGACACAUGGAGCUGGUGGCAAAGACGAGGGUUCAUCUUCAGAAAAACCCAUCAUCAAUUUUAAGUCAAAGAGACAUUCUGAUAGGGAUCUUGAUAAUCCAAAACCAAACAAAUGUCGAAUACCAACAGGAGACAGGUCAAGUUUAUCCCGCAAGUAUAGUGACCUAUCAUUUUGUAGCAUUGAGGACCAUCUUCCAGAUGGCUUUUAUGAUGCAGGACGUGACCGGCCUUUCUUGCCACUUAGGAGUUAUGAACAAAUUUUGCAUCUUGAUUCACGUGAGGUCAUUCUUCUGGACAGGGAGAAGGAUGAAAAGUUAGAUGCAACAGUUCUAUCUGCCCAGGCUUUGGCCUGCUGCUUGAAGAGAUUCAAUGGUUUUGUCAAGGAAAGGAAUCAGGUUGUUGCUGAUAACUUGCAGAUUGCAUCAAUGCUUGCACUUUUUGUAUCUGAUCAUUUUGGAGGCAGCGACAGAAGUUCUAUUGUUGAUAGGACACGAAAGGCUGUGUCUGGUUCAAACUAUAGGAAGCCAUUUAUUUGCACGUGUUCAACAGGAAAUGAUGACAGUAUUAAUGCAUCCACAAAGCAUAUUUUGGGCACUUCAGAAGAUAUUAUUUUCUCUGAUCUCUGUGAGAAAUCUUUACAUGCUGUUAAAGCAAGAAGGAAUUCUAUUGUAGUUCCUCUAGGGGAUUUGCAGUUUGGUGUGUGUAGGCACAGAGCCUUGCUAAUGAAGUAUCUAUGUGACCGAAUGGAGCCAUCAAUACCCUGUGAACUUGUCAGGGGUUAUCUGGACUUUGUGCCGCAUGCCUGGAAUAUCAUUCUCACAAAGAGGGGUGAUACAUGGGUUCGCAUGUUGGUGGAUGCAUGUCAUCCUCAUGAUAUAAGGGAAGAGACUGAUCCGGAGUAUUUUUGCAGGUCAGUGUAGAAUGAUAGUUCAUCAGUGUUGGUACAUAGAAACGUGAGAAAAAUUGAAGUACUCUUCGUACACAAUCACUUAAGAUUAUUUGAUUGGUCAUCAUAUUUUUUUGCUUCUCCAUUUUAUUUGUCCAAGUUUAAGAUCGUUUAUCUUGUGGAUUUCCUUGUUGCGCUAGGUACAUUCCACUCAGUCGGACCAAAGUUUCUCGUUCAACUGAGAGCAUGCCUGGUCCUGGUUGUUCUAUAACUUCUUUCUCCACGUGUGAUGAAUUAGAAAAAACUGUUUCUAGUACCAUUAUUGAAUGCAAGCUUGGAUCAGUUGAAGCUGCAGCAAAGGUGCGUUCUUUAGAGAUACGUGGGACUUCAGUGGAUGAGAUUAGGAAUUUCGAGUACAACUGCAUUGGGGAAGUAAGAAUCUUAGGUGCUUUGCAACAUCCCUGCAUAGUUGAAUUGUAUGGACAUCAGAUAUCUUCAAAGUGGGUUCAUUCAGAAGAUGGAAAACCGCAGCGCCAGAUAUUACGGUCUAUGAUUCUUAUGGAGCGUGUUAAGGGGGGAUCUUUAAAGAGUUACAUAGAGAAGAUGUCAAAAACUGGCGAGAAGCAUGUACCAGUGGAUUUAGCUUUGUGUAUUGCUCGAGAUGUUGCAUGUGCAUUGGCAGAGCUGCACUCGAAACACAUAAUUCAUCGCGAUGUGAAAAGUGAAAAUAUUUUGAUUGAUUUAGACAGUAAGAGAGCUGAUGCAAUGCCUGUUGUGAAACUCUGUGAUUUUGACAGAGCUGUACCUCUUAGGUCAUUCUUGCAUACAUGUUGUAUUGCUCAUAGAGGAAUACCACCACCUGAUGUUUGUGUUGGAACACCUCGCUGGAUGGCUCCAGAGGUUCUGCAGGCAAUGCAUAAACGUAACCUAUAUGGUUUGGUAUGAUGUUUCUUCUGUCUUAGAUAUUCCUUAAAUUGGUUGCUCACAUUUCCAUUUCCAUCUGUGAAAUAACUGUAAGGUUCUAUAAGAGCAAGUAUAAGAGUGAAGUCAUUAACGGUAUCAUAUAGAUUUCUGUAUUUUUUUUUUCAAAAUAUUAAACCAUAACUCUUUUUCUUUUAUAACCUUGAUUUGAGAAGGGAAUGUUGGGAGAACAAUCCUAGAUUGUCAUCAACGUAGUGAAAGAUUAUGUAGUACUUUGGACAAAGGUGAAUUAUUGUUUAUUGUAGAAUGUUAUAAUUUUUUUUGUUACUUGAAAGUGACAGACUAUUUGGUAUAGGAUACCCUUAUGAUUUCUUGAAUUUUAAGUAUUGUAUACAACCUUCAGGAUGAUUGUGUUGGCUGAUGACCAUAUAUUUUAUUUAUUUUUUAAAAGUUUGUCUACCAUAGCAGAAAAGGUUAUUUCAAUGGCACAUAUGCAGCAUAUGUUCAUAUUGUAAUGUAAUUUUUAUAUUUUGAGUUGAUGUAGCUUCAUUAAUGAAUUAAGUGAUUCUGUUGUCUGGUUGUAGGGAGUGGAUAUUUGGUCAUAUGGGUGCCUGCUUUUGGAAUUAUUGACUUUGCAAGUUCCAUACUCUGGCUUAUCUGAAUUCCACAUCAAUGACCUUCUUCAGAUGGGCAAACGACCACCAUUAACUGAUGAACUGGAAAGAUUAGUAUCAAUGAAUGAGCCUGCAGCUACCCAGUCUGGCUCAGAUGUGGCAGGGCCUGAGGCUGAAUUGGAAAAUCUAAAAUUCCUUGUUGAUUUGUUCAUUCGAUGCACAGAAGGAAAUCCAGCUAACCGUCCCACAGCAGCUGAAAUCUAUGAAUUGUUGCUUGUGCAUACAAAUACUUUCACUAGUUCAAGGAAUUAGGUGCAUGUGUAGAUUAACCUUUAGGAAAUAGUUCAUUCCUAGUCCCAAAUUUUUGUAGCCCUAGAAUGUUGUAUGACAAUAUGUAACAUGUAUAUCUUUCAGGAUCGAGUGUUUGGGCUUCCACUGAAGUUGUUAUAGCAGGACUAGUUACAGGUUUAGGAUUAGCAUCAUCUUUAAGCCUUCUUCAGUAUGAGUAAUGUCCAGGAUUCAGAUUCAAAUUUGGCGCUUCCUGCCUUUCUAAUCUAAUUGGGAUUUGUAAAUUUUGUAGGUAGUUAUGUUUGCUUAGGUGUUGACGUCCUUAUUCUUUUGUAAGUUGACAUGUUUAAAUUAUUAAAGCUCCUUCAUUUUGAUUUAUUUGAAA